UUGGAGGGCAAGUCUGGUGCCAGCAGCCGCGGUAAUUCCAGCUCCAAUAGCGUAUAUUAAAGUUGUUGCAGUUAAAAAGCUCGUAGUUGAACUUCGGAAUUUAUUCAUUGGUCAGGCUUAACUGUCUGUACUGGUGUGAUGAAUUCCUACCUUCUGAGGAAUCUUCAUGCCAUUCACUUGGUGUGGUGGGGAAUCAUGACUGUUACUUUGAAAAAAUUAGAGUGUUUAAAGCAGGCUAACGUCUGAAUACAUUAGCAUGGAAUAAUAAAAUAGGACGGCUUGGUUCUAUUUUGUUGGUUUCUAGGAUCACCGUAAUGAUUAAUAGGGAUAGUUGGGGGCAUUAGUAUUCAAUUGUCAGAGGUGAAAUUCUUGGAUUUAUUGAAGACUAACUACUGCGAAAGCAUUUGCCAAGGAUGUUUUCAUUAAUCAAGAACGAAAGUUAGGGGAUCGAAGACGAUCAGAUACCGUCGUAGUCUUAACCAUAGACUAUGCCGACUAGGGAUCGGACGAAGUUAAUUUUUAAAUGACUCGUUCGGCACCUUACGGGAAACCAAAGUGUUUGGGUUC
This 567-nucleotide ribosomal RNA is filed under the name uncultured Glomeromycotina. RNAcentral's name for it is "SSU rRNA". It matches the Rfam family "Eukaryotic small subunit ribosomal RNA", at positions 548 to 1114 of the family's 1831-position model. Lineage: Eukaryota; Fungi; Glomeromycota. The record is from RNAcentral.